This 763-nucleotide ribosomal RNA is filed under the name Parmotrema pseudotinctorum. RNAcentral describes it as "SSU rRNA". It matches the Rfam family "Bacterial small subunit ribosomal RNA", at positions 454 to 1138 of the family's 1533-position model. The record is from RNAcentral. Lineage: Eukaryota; Fungi; Ascomycota; Lecanoromycetes; Lecanorales; Parmeliaceae.
UCUAGGUAGAAUUAUGAUAAUGACAUUGUCUGCCUAUGUGUCUUGACCAAAUUACGUGCCAGCAGUCGCGGUAAUACGUAGAAGACUAGUGUUAUUCAUGUUUAAUCGGUUUAAAGGGUACCUAGACGGUGAAUCAAGCUUUAGAAUAAAGAAGAAAAGGAACUAAUUCGCUAGAGUUACUUACGAGGGGGUAGUAAAGUACUGCUGGUGUAGAGAUGAAAUUCUGUCAUACCUCUUUUCGAAAGAAAAAUUAUGGCACAGGUAUAGGCGAAGGCAUCCCCUUAUGUGAUAACUGACGUUGAGGGACGAAGGCUUCGUGGAACAAACAGGAUUAGAUACCCUAGUAGUUGAAGCAGAAAAUGAUGAAUGUCAUAGAUUAGACGUCUAAGUUUAUUCUAUAAAUGAAAGUGUAAGCAUUCCACCUCAUGAGUAAUUUGGCAACAUUGGAAUUGAAAUCAUUAGACCGUUUCUGAAACCAGUAGUGAAGUAUGUUGUUUAAUUUGAUAAUACGCAAAAAACCUUACCACAAUUUGAAUAUUUAUAUUGUUUAUUGUUAUCUUAUUAAUUUUCUUAAAAAAACUAAUUAUAGCAAAAGCAUUUUAAAACAGGAAAAGAAAAUUAAUCAAGAGGCAAUAACAUAUAUCUACAAGCGUUGCACGGCCGUCUUCAGUUAAUGUCGCGAGACUUUGGUUAGUUCCCUUCAAUUAACGCCUCCCUUACCUUAUUUUUUAUAAGAGUAGUUCCCCGCCAUAUGGAUAUAAAC